GAUGAAGAACGCAGCGAAAUGCGAUACGUAAUGUGAAUUGCAGAUCUCAGUGAAUCAUCGAAUCUUUGAACGCACAUUGCGCCCGCCAGUAUUCUGGCGGGCAUGCCUGUUCGAGCGUCAUUUCAACCAUCAAGCCUUCGCUUGUGUUGGGGCCCCGCGGCUGCCGCGGUCCCCUAAAUCCAGUGGCGGGCUCGUCGUCGUACCGAGCGCAGUAGACAUCCUCGCUCCGGGAACCCGACGGGUGCCGGCCGUGAAACCCCCCACAUCAAGGUUGACCUCGGAUCAGGUAGGAAUACCCGCUGAACUUAAGCAUAUCAAUAAGCGGAGGA
Molecule: unclassified non-coding RNA, 329 nt
Filed under: soil metagenome
Description: partial contains 5.8S ribosomal RNA, internal transcribed spacer 2, and large subunit ribosomal RNA
Rfam family: 5.8S ribosomal RNA (bases 1-120)
Source: RNAcentral